This 117-nucleotide unclassified non-coding RNA is filed under the name uncultured fungus. RNAcentral describes it as "sequence contains ITS1". The record is from RNAcentral. Lineage: Eukaryota; Fungi.
UUGAAUUUCUUUGGCUUGUCCAAAGUCCCUUCAAACACCUGUGAACCGGGCUUCGGCCAUAUCUUUUAACAACGUCUCAAGAAAGUCCUGUAGCUUGCUACAAAAAGUAAAUAAAUA